AGGAAAAACAGCCUUCCCAAAAACGUUGCGUCAUUCACACCAAAAUCGCUCAGUCAGUCCAAUCUCCUAAUCCACUGAACUCCGCUUUCCGGCAAAUUGAUACUACAAAAGCAUACCGAACUGAGUAUUCGAACGGAAGCCCAAGACAGGUAACACAUGUAUUCGAAACAUGACAAAUGUAUCUAAAAGUAAUUAUAUAUUCCACAAUUUCCAUGUAUAGAAGAGUCGUCCAUGGAUGGGUUCAACAAGGAGAUGAAAACUUCUAUAGACAAACAUGACAUAGUAAGUUAAAAUUUCUCCAUUGUUCACACUUCUGUAACCAUUAUUUGUUGUCCUCUAUAAUGGAACGGACAUCCCAAAAAUAAUAUCCCUGAAACACAGAUUGCUAUGGGAGUCAUGUACAUCAACUAUUUGAUUCAUUUACUUUGUAUAAGUUUUAGUACAGGUGAUGCCACCUAUGAGUGGCCCUUGCAGAUUUUCUCUUACUGUGUUUGGUGUCUUUGCUUUGGAUAUUAACAUUACAAGAAAACAAGAAAGGGAGAGAAUGGUUUCUCUUUUACAGAAAAUGAAGUUUGGCACUUUGAUCUUAUGAAGGGGAAUACAUUCAUCAGGCUACGGAAAGCAAAUAGGCGAUUGGUUUGAGGAUGGAAACGUUGGCAAGGAACAAUCAUGCCAAGGUGCUCGGUGACACUUUGGUAUUCAGCAAUGUGAGACUACCCAUUUUAAUCAAAUCAGGUUAUCCAUCUGCAGAAAACUGAAGCUUAAAACUAAUGGAAGUCCUCAAGGAGGUCUCGGUGCUGCUGGCAUGAGGGAUACAUGGAAGUGGAUUAUAGCCUAUAAAGGGAAUUGGAGAAGUAACAAGCUUUGAGGCUGAACUUAGAAGCAUUCUUCAAGGCCCAAAGCUACGAGAGAACAAAUGAUUCAAAGGAGUUAAACUCAGCAAUACAGUCUCAAGCCAAUCACGAAGGAUGGUCAUGCAACUCAGAAGUAUAGAUCUUUGAUAUAUGACUGUGAACCGAAGCUGAAAAGGUCCAUCACCAACAUACUCAGAUAAGCUGCUGGAUGUGCUGACAACUUACCUAAACUCGAAGCACAAGCCUUGUAGAAAUUAGAGUCCUGCAAGAGCCACCAAAUGAAAUUGCAACUAAGUAAGAAGCUGACUUAACUUGUGCUGCCCCUCAAGAGCUUGUUUAUUUUGUUAGUCC
This is a long non-coding RNA of Rhododendron vialii, 1205 nucleotides long. RefSeq lists it as uncharacterized. The record is from RefSeq and is a predicted model, not a curated record. The transcript has 3 exons. Lineage: Eukaryota; Viridiplantae; Streptophyta; Magnoliopsida; Ericales; Ericaceae.